Molecule: transfer RNA, 74 nt
Filed under: Gammaproteobacteria bacterium
Lineage: Bacteria; Pseudomonadati; Pseudomonadota; Gammaproteobacteria
Also listed under: 2 other names
Description: tRNA-Cys
Rfam family: tRNA
About the family: Transfer RNA (tRNA) molecules are approximately 80 nucleotides in length.
Source: RNAcentral
GGCAAGGUGGCAGAGUGGUUAUGCAGCGGCCUGCAAAGCCGUGGACGUCGGUUCGAUUCCGAUCCUUGCCUCCA